GUCUAUAGCCAUCCAUCCUGAACAUGCCUGAUCUCAGAAGCUAAGCAGGGUUGAGCCUGGUUAGUACUUGGAUGGAAGACCAUGGGCUUCCCUAGUGAUUCAGACA
Bison bison bison is the source of this 106-nucleotide ribosomal RNA. NCBI's taxonomy places the organism in Eukaryota, Metazoa, Chordata, Mammalia, Artiodactyla, Bovidae. The record is from Ensembl.